GACGAACGCUGGCGGCGUGCCUAAUACAUGCAAGUCGAACGCAUUUUCUUUCACCGUAGCUUGCUACACCGAAAGAAAAUGAGUGGCGAACGGGUGAGUAACACGUGGGUAACCUGCCCAUCAGCGGGGGAUAACACUUGGAAACAGGUGCUAAUACCGCAUAAUUCCAUUUACUGCAUGGUAGAUGGAUGAAAGGCGCUUUUGCGUCACUGAUGGAUGGACCCGCGGUGCAUUAGCUAGUUGGUGGGGUAACGGCCUACCAAGGCUGCGAUGCAUAGCCGACCUGAGAGGGUGAUCGGCCACACUGGGACUGAGACACGGCCCAGACGCCUACGGGAGGCAGCAGUAGGGAAUCUUCGGCAAUGGACGCAAGUCUGACCGAGCAACGCCGCGUGAGUGAAGAAGGGUUUCGGAUCGUAAAACUCUGUUGUUAGAAAAGAACAAGGAUGAGAGUGGAAAGUUCAUCCCUUGACGGUAUCUAACCAGAAAGCCACGGCUAACUACGUG
RNAcentral lists this ribosomal RNA (507 nucleotides) under uncultured bacterium. RNAcentral's name for it is "partial 16S ribosomal RNA". It matches the Rfam family "Bacterial small subunit ribosomal RNA", at positions 28 to 507 of the family's 1533-position model. The record is from RNAcentral.